Long non-coding RNA from Vespa crabro (European hornet), 691 nucleotides. RefSeq lists it as uncharacterized. The record is from RefSeq and is a predicted model, not a curated record. The transcript has 3 exons. NCBI's taxonomy places the organism in Eukaryota, Metazoa, Arthropoda, Insecta, Hymenoptera, Vespidae.
UAGGAACCUGGUGGAUAUAAAGAGUAAUUUUCUUCAUCCUCUAAACGAAAUGUUGGAUUAAUGUUACUCUGACUUGAUGUACUUGCGUUGGAAACGUUCGACGGGGUACGAUGAUGUGUGUACGAAGGAAGUCUUGAUGCAGAAGAAUAUAUUUUGAAAUAGUGUUGAAUACUUACUGAUAAUCCGGGUGUACAAAAUAAGAUGUAUCAGGCGGGUUGCGUCUUACCGAUGAAACAACUGUAUAGACUGGUGGUCCAUAGUCAGGAAAUGGUGCAACAUUUCCUAAGUAAAUUGUAGGUCCCCUUUCUAUACGUUCAACUCUACCCGUAUCAGAUGGAGUCAGUCCAUGUUCGGAAGGAUAGAAAAGGACCAAACCCAAUUGGAGUUAAUUAGGAUUCUACUGGAAGCAUGCAGGGAACUUUUUUACGCUCGGUUAUUGCUAUGUACCCAUAAUAUUUAAGAUUGAAUAUAAUAAAAGUAGGUAAUGUUUUUUUUAGAUUCAAUAAUGUAUAGCAUACGUUUAUACUUUAUCAAUAAUAAAGAUUUUAUAUAUAUGUAAAUGUAUUAAAAAUGUAAUGCAAGCAUUUAAAUAUAUUAGAGACAUAUAUAACUACAACAUUGUUACUUACAAUAGACAUCUUAACAAAUUACUUAAUUUACUGAUCCUAUUAAAAAAAAAAAGAAAAAAAAA